GUUGUGGAUUUCUAGGAGACAGACCUCGGCCAAGUGACGUCGGCUAGGCACUGUAUAGCGUGGCUCCAUAAACUUCAUCAGACUCCGAAACCCCACGUCCUCUACUACGGAGAAAGGUUGAUUAUCUAGAGUGAUGAACUCCAUCACCUUGUUCAUUAUUUGUUUUGCUCUGGCGCUGUCUGGAGCCAGUAGUUUGACUCUCUCAAAGGCCGUGUCAAUUAAAGUCUGAGUCUUGCCGAUGGUGGCUGUUUUUGCUUUCUUGGCAGCUUCAUUUUUCCGUUUGUGGUCAGCUUGCAGGUAAUCACUGUACACCGCCGCGUGCCUACUUUUCAAAUGUCCAAUGAGAUUUGAUGUGUUAAAUGACUUUUUUUUAGUCCCACCUCUUGAAAUAUCUGUUUUACACGCAUUGCAAACUGCAUGACGCGGAUCUUCCUUUGAGACGGUAAAAUAUUCCCACACGGUUGCCAUCUUCUUUUACCUGACUGAGAAAAGUGCGCGAAAAGAAAGGUUCCUCCCGAGCACAGCGUUCAUGCGACAUUUAAAUCAACAUAAACAUCGGCAGUGCCGCCGCUCCCAUAACGCGCAUUACGCGCUGUGCGUAGGGCACCAAGUGUCGAGGGGGCACCACCAAAAAUAGCCUAAUGAAAAAUCGUCAUAAUAAUUAUAAGGCCGAAAUUAUUUCAGUAGACUAUAGAAAUAUGAGGCACUUUUUAGGCAUACUACUCAAAGGUACCGAUGGUGCCCCCCUCUCCCCUCCCCCCUCCCCUCCCCACUCACACAAACACAAACGAAAACACAAUCUGCACAAUCUGCGUCCCAAGCGCCCUGUGGGUGCCCUUGCUGUCAGUGGUCUUUUGGAUUACUCGACAUUUUUGGAAAUGAAAAGGCAACAGGAGUCAGGAGCAGAAAAAAGAAAAAAGAGGAAACAGCGAGAUGAUGCCCGUGCAUCACUUGCAGGGUCAAUGCUGAAAUACGUUCAAGCGGGAGCACGAGGCCAAGAAGAGGACACAGAUGAGGAAGAACCAUCGACAAGUUCACCCAAUCAACCCCAGCCAGCAAGCAGGUCUGUACACCCCGCAACAGUACUAAGCCCUGAUCAACCACCCUCAACCACCACAGAUACACAGCAGAUAACCACCACCUCUGAAAGUCCUGUCACUGAGAGUCCGUCAGAAGGUGACAAGGUAGAAACGGGUUUGCCCUCUCCAACUGAUCCUGCUCUCUGGCCAUUACGGAUUUUAGAUGCGGAUCGUGUUGAGAUCGUACGAAGAGGUCCAUUUAGAGUCCCAUCAGAUUUUAAUUUUCCAAAGGGACUAGAUGGCAGGGCGUUUCAUAGUAGCCUGCAUUUCAAAACGCUCUCAAAUGGAGAGAAAGUCAAGAGAAGUUGGCUUGUUUACUCGAAACAGAACAAUGCUGCAUUCUGUUUUGCGUGUAAGCUUUUCAGUUUGAAAGCUAUAAAGCUCACUGCAGAGGGCAACGGUGACUGGUCCAACAUUAACAAUAAUUUGAUAAGUCAUGAAUGUAGCUCAGACCAUGCCCAGUGCAUGUUUAAAUGGAGAGAACUGGACACACGUUUACAGACAAAUACGACAAUAGACUACCAGGAACAGACAUUGCUGGAGGCAGAAAAAAGAAGGUGGCGAGAUGUUCUCAAACGCUUACUGAAAAUAACCCUAUCUCUUGCCUCAAGGAAUUUGUCAUUUAGAGGCUCUUCACAGUGUCUGUAUGAACCAGACAAUGGCAACUUCUUAAAAGAAGUGGAACUUUUAGGCAGUUUUGAUCCUGUGAUGGAGAACCACCUGACCAAGAUAACCGAUGAAAGCUCCCGAACACAUUAUCUUGGUCAGCAGACACAAAAUGAGCUGAUCCAGAUCGUCUCCAACAAAACAUUGCAAACAAUCCACACACAGAUUCAGGAAGCGAAAUAUUUCUCCAUAAUUCUUGACUGUACACCUGAUAUAAGCCACAAGGAGCAAAUGUCCCUCAUCGUGCGCAUUGUUGAAUUGGAGCCAAAGCCAAAUAUCAAGGAGUAUUUCCUUGGGUAUAUGGAGGUGGUUGAAACAACUGGCCUGAACCUGUCUACUGUCCUUUUAGACAAAUUAAAGGAACUCGACAUUCCAUUUGAUGAUUGCCGCGGACAGGCCUACGACAAUGGUGCGAACAUGAAGGGGAAAAAGCAAGGAGUUCAGGCCCGACUGCUACAGUUGAAUUCGAGGGCGUUGUUUGUUCCUUGCGCAGCUCAUUCUAUGAACCUUGUCAUAGCUGAUGCUGCGAAGUCAUCCAGGGAUGCCACUGGCUUUUUUGGCUAUUUGCAGAAGCUAUUUUGUUUCUUCUCAGGAGCUACAAAGCGGUGGAGCAUCUUGACAAAACACAUCAACCUAACUGUGAAAUCAUGGAGUGAUGUGAGGUGGGAGAGCAGGCUUAGGAGUGUCACAGCUGUCAGAAGUCAAAUCAAAGAAAUCCAAAAUGCGCUCAUCGAGGCUAGGGAAACUGUCAAUGACUCUGUUGCAAAAAUAGAGGCUCAAGCCCUGGCAGAAGAAGUGGCCUCUUUCAGAUUUCUGAUCUGUUCUGUUGUCUGGUGUGAAAUUCUUACAACCACUAACCAGGUAAACAAGCUCCUGCAGACAAGUUCAAUGCAGCUUGACAUUGCCGUCGGGCUCAUUGACAAUGCCAAAACCUCCCUCUCCAGAUACAGGCACUCUGGGUUUGCUCAGGCAGUGUCAACUGCCAAGGACCUUUGCGAGGCGAUGAACAUAGAGCCAGAGCUCAAGGAGAAAAGGCUCAGGAACACAAGAAAGCAGUUUGCAUAUGAGGCUGCAGACGAGCCCUUCAGUGAUGCCCUCAAAAGGCUUGAGGUAUCCUUUUUCAACAGUGUUGUGGACUCCGCUUUGAUGUCACUGCAGGAGCGUUUUGAGACCAUGACCCAGGUCAGAGACAAAUUUGGAGUGCUGCUUGAUUUCAGCAGAGUGCACGGAAUGUCCAAGGAGAACCUGCAAAAAAACUGCAUCGAAGUGCAGAAGACACUGACUGAGAAAGGAAAUUCGGAUAUUGAUGGACUUGAGAUGGUUCAGGAAAUCAUCAACCUUCCUCAACUGCCACCACAAACAACUGCCUUGGAGUUGCUCUCAUUUCUCCAUGAGAAUCGCCUUCAAGAGGUGUAUCCAAAUCUCUGGGUUGCUCUUCGAAUCGCAUUGACUCUCCCUGUUACAGUUGCCUCUGCUGAGCGAAGUUUUUCGAAACUGAAGCUCAUCAAAACUUACUUACGUUCAACAAUGGGGCAGGAACGUCUAAGUGGUCUUGCUGUCAUCAGCAUUAAUGGUGAAGUGGCUCAGAGGCUGUCCUAUGAUGACCUAAUUAAUGACUUUGCAGCGAGGCGUGUUCCUCUAUAGAGUCUUUAUAGAGAAAUGCUUGAUUGUUAAAGAAUAGCAUUAUGCUCUCUCAAAAAGGAUGUCCUUGAUUUAUUUUGAUAACACUUUUUUUGCACUUUACUUGAAUGUGUUUUAGCUGUUCUACAAAGCCUUACUGUUUACAAAGUAAGUAAAGUUGUGACUUUUCGUCCUCUAAAUCUUUGUUUUAUUUAAGAUUUUAUUGAUUGUACUUAUUGAUGUUAUUUAGUGUAAUUUAUUCAAAGUUACUGAAGGAAAGUUUGCACUUUCAAAUGUCAAAAGUUUGUUGUUUUGCUGUGUGUUUGCUGCUGCUAUUGUUUUAUAUGUUUGGUAAUAAAAAAGUUAAACUUU
Molecule: long non-coding RNA, 3737 nt
Organism: Eleginops maclovinus (Patagonian blennie)
Lineage: Eukaryota; Metazoa; Chordata; Actinopteri; Perciformes; Eleginopidae
Exons: 2
Source: RefSeq, a predicted model, not a curated record